RNAcentral lists this unclassified non-coding RNA (230 nucleotides) under Glomeraceae sp. RNAcentral describes it as "partial contains 5.8S ribosomal RNA and internal transcribed spacer 2". The stretch from base 1 to 71 matches the Rfam family "5.8S ribosomal RNA", at positions 84 to 154 of the family's 154-position model. The record is from RNAcentral. Lineage: Eukaryota; Fungi; Glomeromycota; Glomeromycetes; Glomerales; Glomeraceae.
GUGAAUCAUCGAAUUUUUGAACGCAAAUUGCACUCUCUGGUAUUCCGGAGAGUAUGCCUGUUUGAGGGUCAGUUUAAAUAAAAAUCGGUGUGGUUGCUGCCCUUCUUGGUCACGCACCGGAUGUGGGUCGUCUGGCCUUCGGUUAAGUGACCGCAAAUUUAGCAUGAUGUUUUCGUAUGUAUGUAAAUGAUUUUGCGUAGGAUAGCGAUAUCGAAGACUAGGGGCGGUCA